RNAcentral lists this ribosomal RNA (409 nucleotides) under bacterium. RNAcentral describes it as "partial 16S ribosomal RNA". It matches the Rfam family "Bacterial small subunit ribosomal RNA", at positions 355 to 776 of the family's 1533-position model. The record is from RNAcentral.
UGGGGAAUAUUGCACAAUGGGGGAAACCCUGAUGCAGCAACGCCGCGUGCGGGAUGACGGCCUUCGGGUUGUAAACCGCUUUCAGCCAUGACGAAGCUUUUGUGACGGUAGUGGCAGAAGAAGCACCGGCUAACUACGUGCCAGCAGCCGCGGUGAUACGUAGGGUGCGAGCGUUGUCCGGAAUUAUUGGGCGUAAAGAGCUUGUAGGCGGUUUGUCGCGUCGAAAGUGUAAACUCAGUGCUUAACGCUGAGCCUGCUUUCGUUACGGGCUGACUAGAAGAAUGUAGGGGAGAAUGGAAUUCCCGGUGGAACGGUGGAAUGCGCAGAUAUCGGGGGGAACACCAGUGGCGAAGGCGGUUCUCUGGACCUUUCCUGAAGCUGAGAAGCGAAAGCGUGGGUAGCAAACAGG